UAAAUACUCACUCCGUUCGAAAAUACUUGUCUUAGAAACGGAUAAAAUGAAUGUAUCUAUAACUAAAAUAAGUCUAGAUACAACCAUUCCUAGAACAAGUAUUUUCAGACGAAGGGAGUAUAAG
Non-coding RNA from Triticum aestivum (bread wheat), 124 nucleotides. The record is from Rfam. NCBI's taxonomy places the organism in Eukaryota, Viridiplantae, Streptophyta, Magnoliopsida, Poales, Poaceae.